Molecule: long non-coding RNA, 339 nt
Filed under: Mytilus galloprovincialis (Mediterranean mussel)
Lineage: Eukaryota; Metazoa; Mollusca; Bivalvia; Mytilida; Mytilidae
Source: RNAcentral
AGGCUUUGAUGGGCUUUCUGUGUAAGACUAUAGCCUGACCCGUACAGAUGGCAUAUCAGUUCUGAAAAGUUUGAAAAUUUUAUAAGCUGGAAGUCCUGGCCAAGUCUUCUGCAACUUUUGAACAUGGACUAUUCAUAUCUUGUAUACUUUAUACAAUGAACUGAUGAAAAUAACCUGAAAGAAUAACAAACUGAUUAUAAAAAUACACAAAAAACAACCGAAGCAGGCCAGUAAAAAAAAAAAAAAAAAAAAAAAAAAAAAAAAAAAUACCUAACCUACCGACCUAAUUUUUUGGGGCAUGCAACAGGAAACACACCUAUUUUUUUUUUGGCCUCAGUU